Molecule: ribosomal RNA, 483 nt
Filed under: uncultured bacterium
Lineage: Bacteria
Description: partial 16S ribosomal RNA
Rfam family: Bacterial small subunit ribosomal RNA
Source: RNAcentral
GACGAACGCUGGCGGCGUGCUUAACACAUGCAAGUCGAACGCUGAAGCUCAGCUUUUGUUGGGUGGAUGAGUGGCGAACGGGUGAGUAACACGUGAGUAACCUGCCCCCUUCUUUGGGAUAACGCUCGGAAACGGGUGCUAAUACUGGAUAUUCACUGGUCUUCGCCUGGGGGUUGGUGGAAAGGGUUUUUCUGGUGGGGGAUGGGCUCGCGGCCUAUCAGCUUGUUGGUGGGGUGAUGGCCUACCAAGGCUUUGACGGGUAGCCGGCCUGAGAGGGUGACCGGGCACAUUGGGACUGAGAUACGGCCCAGACUCCUACGGGAGGCAGCAGUGGGGAAUAUUGCACAAUGGGCGCAAGCCUGAUGCAGCGACGCCGCGUGAGGGAUGGAGGCCGUCGGGUUGUGAACCUCUUUCGCUCAUGGUCAAGCCGCAACAAUGGUUGUGGUGAGGGUAGUGGGUAAAGAAGCGCCGGCUAACUACGUG